RNAcentral lists this transfer RNA (58 nucleotides) under Laticauda semifasciata (broad-banded blue sea krait). RNAcentral's name for it is "tRNA-Ser". The record is from RNAcentral. Lineage: Eukaryota; Metazoa; Chordata; Lepidosauria; Squamata; Elapidae.
GGGGGGGUCAAAAGACCUGCUAACUCUUUAACCUGGUGUUAAUAACCCAGCCCCCUCU